UAAUGUGUGUUAGUGCUGGUUGUGAUUGUGGUGUUUGAUCUGAAGAAUGUUUUUGGAAGUCUGAGAUCCAGUCAAAGUCCAAAAAGCAAGACUCAUCAAUUACAUCCAGCUUCCAGAUUGCCUGUUUCUUCUCAAGUGCUCGGGAACACUUUGCAGAAUGCUUCUGUUUCAGAGUCUUGACCACAGAGGAUUUGCAUAAGAGCCUCUUGGUCUUCAGGAGAAGCAGGUGUUGCAGGGUCCAGUGAAGACUUUGGACUGAAGGUUUCCCACUGUUCCUGAAUUGCUGAGCAAGAUGUCGGUGGAUUUCCAUUUGAGGCAACCCUUGAUUCCCAGUAGUGUAGCUAUUCAAUGUGGUGAGAACCGGGUUCAUGUGGAGGUACAGCAGGACUUGUUUAGCAAUGGUGAAUUGAUCCAGCCAUCUGGUCUGACUUUGGAAGGAUGUCCUGUUGUCAGUUUGGUCCCAGGCUCUAAGGUGCUCUUUUAGGAUGAACUGCAGGACCGCAACAAUGUUGAUUGUAAUAGCUGUUGCUAGAUUUAUUGAACUCCACUAAAAAUAGGUCCUUGUUUUGGAAUCAAUAGUUCCCUGAAUCUAUAACAUCCAUGGGACGGUUCUUUUUAUAGUGGGGGAAAAAACUCUAAAUGACGCUCCCUUGGGUAACCAAGUGUUAUUUCACGACUUACUAAGAUGCCUUUUGGAAUGGGUCCUUAUUUUGAGAACCUUCUUGGUAACAAUGUCAGUCUCCUAUAGAUGACUAAGGAUGACCUUUGCCCUUACCUACACUCCUGAGCUGUUUGCCUGCACUCUGAUUACCUGUGCAGUUAUUGGUGUUCAAUGCAAUUAUCAAAGGUUUCAAAAUGUCCGCAGUAAGGCAUUGAAGCCAACUUGGGUCCCUUAUUCCUCAAUGGAUGUCUUGUGGAUGCCAAGAUUCACUUCAGUAUUCUGCAGAAGAAGAACAUCUGGCAGAAGAAGCGUCUACAUCACACUCACAAAAAUAAGUGCUUUCUGGGAUCAUCUUUUUUGCAUGCUGCAUAAGAUGUGUGCUGUGAUGCUGAAAAAUGCCGUCUAGACACAGUAGGCAGCUCACUAGGUUUUGCAUGAACAAUUGAGCAUCUUUACAUCACUGCAUCAUUUGCAAGACAAGAUGCUGAAUCUGAACACACUUCUGUCAGUGCUGCAUAAUGAUCGUCUCUUGAUGCAACUUUGAGAAAAGCACACUUCAUCUGCUCACGAAUGUGAAUGACACUCAUCUAUCUGGGAUGUGGUAUAUUCUGUGUGAGACGCUGGUUUGGGACGUCCUGUGCCUGAAGAUAAGAGGAGACGGCACGGCUCUUUCUCGCUGUGAUACACAUCAAACAUUCAUCCUGUCUUAUUCAUCCUGUUUGAGAAAAAUAGUCCAACAUGUCACCUUAGAGAUGUUACAGCCGGGUUGAUUCAGUUUACACAGGUUAAAGAAAGAAUCAAUAGUAAAAAUAUCUGACACAGAACUGUCAGUGGUUUGGGACGUCCUGCGCCUGCAGAUAACAUGAGAUCGUCCAGCUCUUCCCCGAACAUUCAUCCCGUCUCAUCACUGUUUAUGAAAACAGUCGAGCGUCUCACGUGGAGAUGUUUCAGAGCGUGUCUGACUGAUGGAGGGGACGUGUAAAUCAAACCCGCUGUCCAUAAAAGAGCAGCGCUGGAGACUGUGUGAAGUCGGCCCCUGCGGGACGUUGUUAAAACACUGCGCUCUGUUUGAUGUGUGCCAUUUCCAUGGCUUCUGUACGGCUUUCCAGUCUCUUUAAUUCACAGAGCCGUGUCAGCAUUCAGCCUCAAAUGUGUCUUUGAUUCGGAGAGGACCAGGGCUUUACUUCCACGCCUCGAGGACUUUAAUCCCUCAACCUCUUCUCUGCUCUUCUGUCUGUCUGACACAGAAAGGAUCUGAUUCUGCUGGACUCAACGAAGUGAUGCAACCACGUUCAUCAUCCAAGUGCAUUCAAAAACUC
Long non-coding RNA from Carassius auratus (goldfish), 1980 nucleotides. RefSeq lists it as uncharacterized. The record is from RefSeq and is a predicted model, not a curated record. Lineage: Eukaryota; Metazoa; Chordata; Actinopteri; Cypriniformes; Cyprinidae. The transcript has 5 exons.